AGCGAACGCUGGCGGCAGGCUUAACACAUGCAAGUCGAGCGGGCGUAGCAAUACGUCAGCGGCAGACGGGUGAGUAACGCGUGGGAACAUACCUUUUGGUUCGGAACAACACAGGGAAACUUGUGCUAAUACCGGAUAAGCCCUUACGGGGAAAGAUUUAUCGCCGAAAGAUUGGCCCGCGUCUGAUUAGCUAGUUGGUGAGGUAACGGCUCACCAAGGCGACGAUCAGUAGCNGGUCUGAGAGGAUGAUCAGCCACAUUGGGACUGAGACACGGCCCAAACUCCUACGGGAGGCAGCAGUGGGGAAUAUUGGACAAUGGGCGCAAGCCUGAUCCAGCCAUGCCGCGUGAGUGAUGAAGGCCCUAGGGUUGUAAAGCUCUUUUGUGCGGGAAGAUAAUGACGGUACCGCAAGAAUAAGCCCCGGCUAACUUCGUGCCAGCAGCCGC
This 446-nucleotide ribosomal RNA is filed under the name uncultured bacterium. Its description in RNAcentral is "bacterial SSU rRNA". It matches the Rfam family "Bacterial small subunit ribosomal RNA", at positions 29 to 518 of the family's 1533-position model. The record is from RNAcentral.